This 819-nucleotide long non-coding RNA is filed under the name Monodelphis domestica (gray short-tailed opossum). RNAcentral describes it as "lncRNA (ENSMODG00000044669.1)". Lineage: Eukaryota; Metazoa; Chordata; Mammalia; Didelphimorphia; Didelphidae. The record is from RNAcentral.
UAUGCAUGCAUGUAGAUGGUUGAACCUGUGGGGAUCAUAAGUGGCCAAGAACUGAUGUUGAAAGGUACAAAUGCCAGAAAAUAUGUGCAGAGAGACAAUUUAUGCCAGUGACUCUAUGGGAUGAAGAUCUCAGCUCCAUUUGGGGCUGCCAUCUCACAAUGAUUCUGACUUCUGAAGCUUUCCCUUCACUAAAACAAGAUCUUUCAAUGAAAAGUCAAGGGUAAUACUUCCUGUACUGUUCCUUGAAGAGCCUGGGUGUCACCCCUAAAUUGUUCCCCAUACUUCAAGAAGAUGUUUUUUCCUUUGGCCAGCUUAUAGCUGAGUCAGGCUGAGAGGAAGAGUUCAUGGGAAAAUCUGGGGAUAAGAGACACAAGAUAUGGAAGUUGCAGCCUUCCCAUCAGGUAUCAUUUCCCCCUCAUCUGGCUCAACCAGCUUUCAAAGGGCCACUGAAUCAAAGGGUAACAGAACUGCUAGGCAUGAUUUUUAGAAGGGACCUCAGCAAUGACAUGCCAUGACCCAUCCAUGUAAGCAGUCUCCAGUACACCACACCUAACAAGGGAUCAUUUCCAGUGACAUCAGUCAAGUCUCUGCAUCAUCAGAUUCUCUAUUCUGCAGGGAGACAUAACUUCCAAAAAGAAGAAUUUUCUGAGCUUUCUGAAAUUUUUAUUUUUCCAUCAUGGAAAACUCUUCUUUCUAGGGGGUCUCUGUGACAAAGUCUCAUGUCAGACUUUCUAGGGACCUCUGAAUCCUCCUGGUUCCAGAGGGGAGCCAUGGCAGUGUGUCCUUAGAAGAAAAUAAAGGUCUGAUCUUCCAAGAACA